UACCCUUUGGCCUGGAAUAACACGAGGAAACUUGUGCUAAUACCGGAUAAGUCUUUACGGAGAAAGCUUUAUGCACCAUUGGAUGAGCCCGCACUUGAUUAGUUUGUUGGUAGGGUAAUGGCCUACCAAGACUAUGAUCAAUAGCUGAUUUGAGAGGAUGAUCAGCCACAUUGGGACUGAGACACGGCCCAAACUCCUACGGGAGGCAGCAGUGGGGAAUCUUGCACAAUGGAGGAAACUCUGAUGCAGCGAUGCCGCGUGAGUGAAGAAGGCCUUUGGGUUGUAAAGCUCUUUCGUCGGGGAAGAAAAUGACUGUACCCGAAUAAGAAGGUCCG
This 335-nucleotide ribosomal RNA is filed under the name uncultured bacterium. RNAcentral describes it as "bacterial SSU rRNA". It matches the Rfam family "Bacterial small subunit ribosomal RNA", at positions 127 to 495 of the family's 1533-position model. The record is from RNAcentral.